GACCCUAUCGUCCAGCGGUUAGGACACCGCCCUUUCACGGCGGUAACACGGGUUCGAAUCCCGUUAGGGUCGCCA
This 75-nucleotide transfer RNA is filed under the name bacterium. Its description in RNAcentral is "tRNA-Glu". It matches the Rfam family "tRNA". From Rfam's summary of the family: Transfer RNA (tRNA) molecules are approximately 80 nucleotides in length. Their secondary structure includes four short double-helical elements and three loops (D, anti-codon, and T loops). The record is from RNAcentral. RNAcentral also lists the same sequence under 8 other names.